ACAGUACUGAAAUUCUAACUGGCGGCCAUGAAUCUGGUCACAGGACAUUGUUAGGUGGGCAGUUUGACUGGGGCGGUCGCCUCCUAAAAAGUAACGGAGGCGCCCAAAGGUUCCCUCAGAACGGUCGGAAAUCGUUCGAAGAGUGCAAAGGCAGAAGGGAGCCUGACUGCGACACCCACAAGUGGAGCAGGGACGAAAGUCGGGCUUAGUGAUCCGGUGGUACCUCGUGGGAGGGCCAUCGCUCAACGGAUAAAAGCUACCUCGGGGAUAACAGGCUGAUCUCCCCCAAGAGUCCACAUCG
This 301-nucleotide ribosomal RNA is filed under the name Enterococcus faecium. Its description in RNAcentral is "partial 23S ribosomal RNA". It matches the Rfam family "Bacterial large subunit ribosomal RNA", at positions 2208 to 2507 of the family's 2925-position model. Lineage: Bacteria; Bacillati; Bacillota; Bacilli; Lactobacillales; Enterococcaceae. The record is from RNAcentral.